GGAAACGGCGGCGGCGGCGGCACCGGAGGCUCCGAGGCUCCUGCGCUCCCGCGCCGCGCUCCCCUCGCCCGCCCGGGCCGCCAGGAGAAGAAACUGAGGCCUGGAAUUUGACUAACUCAUUCAAGGUUACCCAGUUGGGUGGUGAAAACAGUAGGUAUUCUGAACCAACCUUGCACUUCUCAGGUAAUUCAUUUGCACACCUGUUAGCAAGAAACAGAAGUUGAAGGACUGGAACAAGUGAACUAGGAAAGAGGGAACGCCAAUCCAAGGAUAGAAGGACAAGGACAGAAUCACCAGCACUGGCUGAAGAUGCCCAGCCUACAGAGUCUGAGAAGGAAAUUUAUAAUCAGGUGAAUGUAGUAUUAAAAGAUGCAGAAGGCAUCUUGGAGGACUUGCAGUCAUACAGAGGAGCUGGCCACGAAAUACGAGAGGCAAUCCAGCAUCCAGCAGAUGAGAAGUUGCAAGAGAAGGCAUGGGGUGCAGUUGUUCCACUAGUAGGCAAAUUAAAGAAAUUUUACGAAUUUUCUCAGAGGUUAGAAGCAGCAUUAAGAGGUCUUCUGGGAGCCUUAACAAGUACCCCAUAUUCU
Molecule: small RNA, 587 nt
Filed under: Pan troglodytes (chimpanzee)
Lineage: Eukaryota; Metazoa; Chordata; Mammalia; Primates; Hominidae
Description: processed transcript
Source: RNAcentral